CAAAACUGGUCACCCAUCUGCCUGCAGCUACAGCAGCUGCUUUAUUUGCUCAGCAGCCUAGUUCCUGGGAUAACUGUUUAUUUCUGACUCUAGAAUGCAAGCUGAAUAAGAACUGCUGUCAAAAUGGGGGAACUGCUUCCAGGGGACUUUCUGCAUGUGUCCAAAGUAUUUUAGCGGCAGACACUGUGAACAUGCCAGAUAUGGCACUGUGAGACAAGGGGAGUGGACCAUGGACAGCUGCCUGCUCUGCCAGUGUGUGCAUAGAGUCUUUUCACUGUUAUCCUUGUGCCUGAGAGAUGGCUGUGCUUUUCUGGCAAGCAAAAGAAGGGAACAAAACAGCCUUACAGAGAAAACAGUGCAAAUAUGAAGAUCCAGGUAGCUAUUAUCUCCAGACCUGACUGAUUAUCUGCACUUGGUGAGAGGACUGCAGGACAAGACAACACUCACCUUCCCUACAGCUGCCGGAAUGGAAGGGCUACAGUACUAGAGAGCUGGCAUGAAUCCUGGAAACUAAAAGAAAGGCAAAAAACCACAUGUGUCUCUGCAUCUUCAAAUGGCUUUCUUACAUUCAGC
This 573-nucleotide long non-coding RNA is filed under the name Numida meleagris (helmeted guineafowl). Its description in RNAcentral is "lncRNA (ENSNMEG00000017663.1)". The record is from RNAcentral. Lineage: Eukaryota; Metazoa; Chordata; Aves; Galliformes; Numididae.